GGCGGACGGGUGAGUAAUGCGUAGGAAUUUACCUCAAAGCGGGGGAUAGCCCGGAGAAAUCCGGAUUAAUACCGCAUGUGCUCUACGGAGGAAAGCGGGCCUCUUCUUGAAAGCUUGCACUUUGAGAUAAGCCUACGUCGGAUUAGCUUGUUGGUAGGGUAAAAGCCUACCAAGGCAACGAUCCGUAGCUGGUUUGAGAGGAUGAUCAGCCACACUGGGACUGAGACACGGCCCAG
Molecule: ribosomal RNA, 236 nt
Filed under: uncultured bacterium
Lineage: Bacteria
Description: partial 16S ribosomal RNA
Rfam family: Bacterial small subunit ribosomal RNA
Source: RNAcentral